AUGCACGCUGGCGGCGCGCCUCACACCUGCAAGUCGAACGAUUAAAGCACCUUCGGGUGUGUAUAAAGUGGCGAACGGCUGAGUAACACGUGGGCAACCUGCCCCUUUCAUUGGGAUAGCCACGGGAAACCGUGGAUAAUACCGAAUACUUCGAGACUUCCGCAUGGAAGACUCGAGAAAGCUCCGGCGGAGAGGGAUGGGCCCGCGGCCUGUUAGCUUGUUGGCGGGGUAACGGCCUACCAAGGCAAUGAUGGGUAGCUGGGUUGAGAGACCGACCAGCCAGAUUGGGACUGAGACACGGCCCAGACUCCUACGGGAGGCAGCAGUGGGGAAUCUUGCACAAUGGGCGAAAGCCUGAUGCAGCGACGCCGCGUGCGGGAUGAAGGCCUUCGGGUUGUAAACCGCUUUCAGCAGGGACGAGGCGAAAGUGACGGUACCUGCAGAAGAAGCCCCGGCUAACUACGUG
RNAcentral lists this ribosomal RNA (466 nucleotides) under uncultured bacterium. Its description in RNAcentral is "partial 16S ribosomal RNA". It matches the Rfam family "Bacterial small subunit ribosomal RNA", at positions 29 to 507 of the family's 1533-position model. The record is from RNAcentral.